This 617-nucleotide ribosomal RNA is filed under the name Neisseria gonorrhoeae. Its description in RNAcentral is "bacterial LSU rRNA". It matches the Rfam family "Bacterial large subunit ribosomal RNA", at positions 2055 to 2671 of the family's 2925-position model. Lineage: Bacteria; Pseudomonadati; Pseudomonadota; Betaproteobacteria; Neisseriales; Neisseriaceae. The record is from RNAcentral.
GAAGAUGCAAUCUACCCGCUGCUAGACGGAAAGACCCCGUGAACCUUUACUGUAGCUUUGCAUUGGACUUUGAAGUCACUUGUGUAGGAUAGGUGGGAGGCUUGGAAGCAGAGACGCCAGUCUCUGUGGAGUCGUCCUUGAAAUACCACCCUGGUGUCUUUGAGGUUCUAACCCAGACCCGUCAUCCGGGUCGGGGACCGUGCAUGGUAGGCAGUUUGACUGGGGCGGUCUCCUCCCAAAGCGUAACGGAGGAGUUCGAAGGUUACCUAGGUCCGGUCGGAAAUCGGACUGAUAGUGCAAUGGCAAAAGGUAGCUUAACUGCGAGACCGACAAGUCGGGCAGGUGCGAAAGCAGGACAUAGUGAUCCGGUGGUUCUGUAUGGAAGGGCCAUCGCUCAACGGAUAAAAGGUACUCCGGGGAUAACAGGCUGAUUCCGCCCAAGAGUUCAUAUCGACGGCGGAGUUUGGCACCUCGAUGUCGGCUCAUCACAUCCUGGGGCUGUAGUCGGUCCCAAGGGUAUGGCUGUUCGCCAUUUAAAGUGGUACGUGAGCUGGGUUUAAAACGUCGUGAGACAGUUUGGUCUCUAUCUGCAGUGGGCGUUGGAAGUUUGACGGGGG